This 45-nucleotide non-coding RNA is filed under the name Schistosoma haematobium. The record is from RNAcentral. Lineage: Eukaryota; Metazoa; Platyhelminthes; Trematoda; Strigeidida; Schistosomatidae.
AUUCAGCUGAGGAGUCCCAAAUAGGACGAAACGCGCAUCCUGGAU